This 1515-nucleotide ribosomal RNA is filed under the name uncultured prokaryote. Its description in RNAcentral is "partial 16S ribosomal RNA". It matches the Rfam family "Bacterial small subunit ribosomal RNA". The record is from RNAcentral.
AGAGUUUGAUCAUGGCUCAGAUUGAACGCUGGCGGCAGGCCUAACACAUGCAAGUCGAGCGGAAACGAUGGUAGCUUGCUACCAGGCGUCGAGCGGCGGACGGGUGCGUAACGCGUAGGAAUCUGCCCAGCAGCGGGGGAUAGCCCGGAGAAAUCCGGAUUAAUACCGCAUACACUCUACGGAGGUCGGAGAGGGUAACAAAGUAGGGGAUCUUCGGACCUUUCGCUGUUGGAUGAACCCAAGCGGGAUUAGCUUGUUGGUGGGGUAAUGGCCCACCAAGGCGACGAUCCGUAGCUGGUCUGAGAGGAUGAUCAGCCACACUGGGACUGAGACACGGCCCAGACUCCUACGGGAGGCAGCAGUGGGGAAUAUUGGGCAAUGGGCGCAAGCCUGACCCAGCCAUGCCGCGUGUGUGAAGAAGGCUCUAGGGUUGUAAAGCACUUUAAGUUGGGAGGAAAGGUUAAAGUUUAAUACGCUUUAGCCCUGACGUUAACGUCAAAGGAAGCACCGGCUAACUCCGUGCCAGCAGCCGCGGUAAUACGGAGGGUGCAAGCGUUAAUCGGAAUUACUGGGCGUAAAGCGCGCGUAGGUGGUUUGAUAAGUUGGAUGUGAAAGCCCCGGGCUCAACCUGGGAACUGCAUUCAAAACUGUCUCACUAGAGUACGAUAGAGGGGGGUAGAAUUUCAGGUGUAGCGGUGAAAUGCGUAGAGAUCUGAAGGAAUACCAGUGGCGAAGGCGGCCCCCUGGAUUGAUACUGACACUGAGGUGCGAAAGCGUGGGUAGCAAACAGGAUUAGAUACCCUGGUAGUCCAUGCCGUAAACGAUGUCAACUAGCCGUUGGAAGACUUAUCUUUUAGUGGCGCAGCUAACGCAAUAAGUUGACCGCCUGGGGAGUACGGCCGCAAGGUUAAAACUCAAAUGAAUUGACGGGGGCCCGCACAAGCGGUGGAGCAUGUGGUUUAAUUCGAAGCAACGCGAAGAACCUUACCUACUCUUGACAUCCUCAGAACUUAGCAGAGAUGCUUUGGUGCCUUCGGGAACUGAGUGACAGGUGCUGCAUGGCUGUCGUCAGCUCGUGUUGUGAAAUGUUGGGUUAAGUCCCGUAACGAGCGCAACCCUUGUCCUUAUUUGCCAGCACGUAAUGGUGGGAACUCUAAGGAGACUGCCGGUGAUAAACCGGAGGAAGGUGGGACGACGUCAAGUCAUCAUGGCCCUUACGGGAUGGGCUACACACGUGCUACAAUGGCAGGUACAGAGGGCAGCGAAGCCGCGAGGUUGAGCGAAUCCCACAAAGCUUGUCGUAGUCCGGAUCGGAGUCUGCAACUCGACUCCGUGAAGUCGGAAUCGCUAGUAAUCGUAGAUCAGAAUGCUACGGUGAAUACGUUCCCGGGCCUUGUACACACCGCCCGUCACACCAUGGGAGUGGGAUGCAAAAGAAGUGGCUAGUCUAACCUUCGGGAGGACGGUCACCACUUUGUGUUUCAUGACUGGGGUGAAGUCGUAACAAGGUAACCC